This 97-nucleotide small nuclear RNA is filed under the name Otolemur garnettii (small-eared galago). RNAcentral describes it as "U2 spliceosomal RNA". It matches the Rfam family "U2 spliceosomal RNA". From Rfam's summary of the family: U2 is a small nuclear RNA (snRNA) component of the spliceosome (involved in pre-mRNA splicing). Complementary binding between U2 snRNA (in an area lying towards the 5' end but 3' to hairpin I) and the branchpoint sequence (BPS) of the intron results the bulging out of an unpaired adenosine, on the BPS, which initiates a nucleophilic attack at the intronic 5' splice site, thus starting the first of two transesterification reactions that mediate splicing. Lineage: Eukaryota; Metazoa; Chordata; Mammalia; Primates; Galagidae. The record is from Rfam by way of RNAcentral.
AAAAUUUUUUUGCUAAGAUCAAGUGUAGUAUCCAUUCUUACCAGUUUAAUAUCUGAUAUGUCAUCUAUUCAAGGACAAUACAUUAUUAACACUCCAC